UGGUGAGUUUCACUCUACUCUGGCCCUGUGAAGAGACAUGAGAGGUGUAGAAUAAGUGGGAGGCCCGCCGGUGAAAUACCACUACUCUGAUGGUUUUUUCACUUAACUGGUGAGGCGAGCCCCAAGGGGCUCUCGCUUCUGGCGUGUGCCGGGUGCGACCCGCUCCAGGGACAGCAUCAGGUGGGGAGUUUUGUCUGGGGUGGUACACCUGUCAAACCGGAACACAGGUGUCCUAAGGUGAGCUCAGGGAAAAGAAAAGGAAGAAGAAGAAAAAAGAAAGGGAAAAACAAAUUAAAGAGGCAAUAGGAAAAUAAAUAGGAGAUGGAGAAUGAAUGAAAAGAUUCUGAACAGUUUAUCAUA
RNAcentral lists this ribosomal RNA (360 nucleotides) under Podarcis lilfordi (Lilford's wall lizard). RNAcentral describes it as "Eukaryotic large subunit ribosomal RNA". It matches the Rfam family "Eukaryotic large subunit ribosomal RNA", at positions 2414 to 2776 of the family's 3401-position model. The record is from Rfam by way of RNAcentral. Lineage: Eukaryota; Metazoa; Chordata; Lepidosauria; Squamata; Lacertidae.